ACGAACGCUGGCGGCAGGCUUAACACAUGCAAGUCGAACGCGUGUAGCAAUACACGAGUGGCGCACGGGUGAGUAACGCGUGGGAACGUACCUUAGAGUUCGGAAUAACCAUUGGAAACGAUGGCUAAUACCGGAUACUCCCUCCGGGGGAAAGAUUUAUCGCUCUAAGAUCGGCCCGCGUCAGAUUAGCUAGUUGGUGGGGUAACGGCCUACCAAGGCUCCGAUCUGUAGCUGGUCUGAGAGGACGACCAGCCACACUGGAACUGAGACACGGUCCAGACUCCUACGGGAGGCAGCAGUGGGGAAUAUUGGACAAUGGGCGAAAGCCUGAUCCAGCCAUGCCGCGUGAGUGAUGAAGGCCUUAGGGUUGUAAAGCUCUUUUGCCAGGGAAGAUAAUGACGGUACCUGGAGAAUAAGCACCGGCUAACUUCGU
This 433-nucleotide ribosomal RNA is filed under the name uncultured bacterium. RNAcentral describes it as "bacterial SSU rRNA". It matches the Rfam family "Bacterial small subunit ribosomal RNA", at positions 29 to 506 of the family's 1533-position model. The record is from RNAcentral.